This 216-nucleotide unclassified non-coding RNA is filed under the name Hevea brasiliensis (rubber tree). The record is from RNAcentral. Lineage: Eukaryota; Viridiplantae; Streptophyta; Magnoliopsida; Malpighiales; Euphorbiaceae.
UGCUGGAGUUGACGUGCCAGGAGUGAAUAAGAAAACAGAGACUAAAACGGAGGUUGUUGUUAACUUAGUAGAGGACUCUGGGAAGGCUAUGGAAGAAGAUUUCACUGGUAUGAUGGAGGGUCCCGCAAUGGUGGAUAAGGGACGUGGUAGAGGAAACAAAGGAGGAGGCUGCUGACACUGCAGAAGAGGCAGAGAUGGCUCACAUGUCAGAGGAAA